GAUGAACGCUGGCGGCGUGCCUAAUACAUGCAAGUCGAGCGAACGGACGAGAAGCUUGCUUCUCUGAUGUUAGCGGCGGACGGGUGAGUAACACGUGGAUAGCCUACCUAUAAGACUGGGAUAACUUCGGGAAACCGGAGCUAAUACCGGAUGAUAUUUUGAACCGCAUGGUUCAAAAGUGAAAGACGGUCUUGCUGUCACUUAUAGAUGGAUCCGCGCUGCAUUAGCUAGUUGGUAAGGUAACGGCUUACCAAGGCAACGAUGCAUAGCCGACCUGAGAGGGUGAUCGGCCACACUGGAACUGAGACACGGUCCAGACUCCUACGGGAGGCAGCAGUAGGGAAUCUUCCGCAAUGGGCGAAAGCCUGACGGAGCAACGCCGCGUGAGUGACGAAGGUCUUCGGAUCGUAAAACUCUGUUAUUAGGGAAGAACAUAUGUGUAAGUAACUGUGCACAUCUUGACGGUACCUAAUCAGAAAGCCACGGCUAACUACGUG
RNAcentral lists this ribosomal RNA (497 nucleotides) under uncultured bacterium. RNAcentral describes it as "partial 16S ribosomal RNA". It matches the Rfam family "Bacterial small subunit ribosomal RNA", at positions 28 to 507 of the family's 1533-position model. The record is from RNAcentral.